UUUUCUUUCGGACACUCUUUCAAGGUGCUGCAUGGUUGUCGUCAGCUCGUGCCGUGAGGUGUCGGGUUAAGUCCCAUAACGAGCGCAACCCUUACCGUUAGUUACCAUCAGGUUAAGCUGGGGACUCUAGCGGGACUGCACCGUAAGGUGAGAGGAAGGUGGGGAUGACGUCAAAUCAGCACGGCCCUUAUGUCCAGGGCUACACACGUGUUACAAUGGCCAGUACAAAGGGCAGCUACCGGGUGACCGGAUGCUAAUCUCUAAAGCUGGUCUCAGUUCGGAUCGAAGUCUGCAACCCGACUUCGUGAAGCUGGAUUCGCUAGUAAUCGCGCAUCAGCCAUGGCCGCGGUCCGAAUACGUUCCGGGCCUU
Molecule: ribosomal RNA, 370 nt
Filed under: uncultured Sphingobacteriales bacterium
Lineage: Bacteria; Pseudomonadati; Bacteroidota; Sphingobacteriia; Sphingobacteriales
Description: bacterial SSU rRNA
Rfam family: Bacterial small subunit ribosomal RNA
Source: RNAcentral